Non-coding RNA from Mus caroli (Ryukyu mouse), 556 nucleotides. The record is from RefSeq and is a predicted model, not a curated record. NCBI's taxonomy places the organism in Eukaryota, Metazoa, Chordata, Mammalia, Rodentia, Muridae.
UCAAGCUUCCUUUGAGACCAUGAGAUCCUGGUGUGACCAAGCUUCUGGGAUCCUGGCAUACUGGAAUCCUAAGAUCCUGGGCAUGUUAGAGUGCCUGGAAGUUGUAUGUCUUCUGGGGACCAUGAUGCUGUCUGCUGAGUUUGAAACCAAGGAAUGUUCAUCUGGACCUCUGAAUGCCAUCCUCUGAGAAGAAGCCCAUGACAGCAAGCACGCUGGAGCGCAACACCAUCCUGGGUGAAGAUUUGCUGCAAUUGAAUGUGGAUGUGCUGAUCUCUGUGCUCCUGGAUAUGGAGCUGUUAAUCUCUCCUCCAGAGCUGGAUGCAGGCCCAGGCUGCCAUGUAGCACUGAGUGAUGCCAUGCCAAUUCCAGACAAGGUCUUUAUUGCUGGAAAUGUUGCAUAAUGACAGUUUUAUUCAUGUGAAAACGCAGAAUACAUUUCAACUGUAUGAAAUUGUUUAUGUUCAUCAGAAAUGUUAUUUGUCUUCACAAAGUCUGGUUUCAAUGAACCAGCUAUGUAAUGGAUAUUAAAUAAACAUGGAAUUUUACAUGUUCAUAA